AGGUCCACUUACUAGCUUUGUUCUCAAACUUCAUCACAACAUAUUCAUCUGAAUCGGACUUUCCCUUCCUCCUCAUCAGGGCAGUUCCGGCUUCGGAUACUCUGGCAAUAAAGGAGAGCGUGGGUCUCAGGGGCCUCCCGGGCUCCCUGGUCCCCCCGGUCCUGCAGCCGAGGUGGUUCGACUCGGGGACGGCUCCGUCGUGCAGCAGGUGUCUGGACCCCCCGGACCGACGGGACCAGCGGGGUCAAAUGGGGCUGCAGGACCUGCAGGAACCGAUGGAGAGCCUGUGAGUAAACUCUUGAUUGUCCACAAACGUUCGUUUUCUUCAUCUUAAUGUGACUCACUGAUUGUUCUUCUUCCUUCAGGGAGAUCCAGGAGAGGAUGGGAAAGCUGGUCCCGCUGGGCCUCAAGGUUCCCCAGGAAACCCAGGAACUGCUGGUGCUAAAGGCCAAAAGGUUGUUCUUAAACUACUAUUACAUUAAGUUACAAGGAUUUCUUUAUCGUGAUAAUGUGUGAUACUUCCAGGGUGAGCUUGGUGACGGUCAACCAGGACCCAGAGGCCCCCCGGGUCCACCGGGCCUUCCUGGCGCUGGCACCGGGGACCGCCCGGUACGUGCACUCUUCAAACACGCUUUCCUUUCUUUACUGUUUGCAGACUUGUUCACUGUGUUUCAUUAUGUGCUGACAGACGUUCUUUGACAUGGAGGGCUCAGGAUUCCCAGACGUGAACAAAAUCCGGGUAAGUUGAUGAUCGUUCAAAUUGGAAGUUGAGUUUUUAUAUAAUACAUACAAACAUAACGAGUUUGUGUUUUGUUAUCCAGGGUGCCAGCGGUCCUCCGGGUCUCCCAGGACCUCCCGGUCCUCCUGGGAUCUCGGUGGCACUCGGGGAAAAUGGCCCCGUAGCUUUCGGACCUCCUGGACCGCCUGGACAGGACGGAAUCCCCGGCCUGCCGGGCCCUCCUGGUCCCUCUGGCAGACCGGGUCAACCAGGUUCUGGAGGAGUCAAAGGUGACGGUGGUGAUCUCGGUCUUCCGGGAGCAGCUGGAGAAAAGGGUGCUCAGGGUGACCUUGGACAGACGGGUAUAUCAGGAGAGAGUGGGCUGGCAGGGCUUCCAGGUCCCAUGGGACCCGUUGGACCUGCCGGACCCCCUGGGCCACCGGGGCCUUCGUACCGCGGGGGUUAUGUGAGUAGAGCUUAAACACAUGCAGGUGCAUGCACAGAGGUUCAUUCACAAUCUUGAGCAUUUAGUGAUUUAGGUUUGUUAAGCCCCUUUCCCCCCUCGACAAAAACAACACUGACGCCCACUAAAUAUUCCUUCUCUCCCCUCUCUCCUCACAGGGUAACCAGGGUGAUUACGAGGUGAACAACGGCUCACCUGGACUCAACGGCCCACCUGGACCUCAGGUAGCCGAUCGCACACACACAGGAAGUGAAACCUUCUCUUUACAGUCGAUGCCCUGCUUCAUGUUUCCAUGUUUUCUGUCUUCCAGGGUCCACCUGGUA
This 1504-nucleotide long non-coding RNA is filed under the name Cottoperca gobio. RNAcentral's name for it is "lncRNA (ENSCGOG00000020463.1)". Lineage: Eukaryota; Metazoa; Chordata; Actinopteri; Perciformes; Bovichtidae. The record is from RNAcentral.